Molecule: ribosomal RNA, 576 nt
Filed under: uncultured eukaryote
Lineage: Eukaryota
Description: bacterial SSU rRNA
Rfam family: Eukaryotic small subunit ribosomal RNA
Source: RNAcentral
AUCAAAACCAAACGGCCCCUUCGCGGGGUCGUACAUCUGGUGAUUCUGAAUAACUUUGGGCUGAUCGCAUGGCCUUGCGCCGGCGACGUAUCUUUCUAAGGUGUGCCCUAUCAACUGUCGACUGUGGCAUAGACGCCCACAGUGGUUUUGACGGGUAACGGGGAAUCAGGGUUCGAUUCCGGAGAGGGAGCCUGAGAAACGGCUACCACUUCUAAGGAAGGCAGCAGGCACGCAAAUUACCCACUGGUCGAAGACCGAGGUAGUGACGAAAAAUAACGAUACCGGACUCAUCCGAGGCCCGGUAAUCGGAAUGAGUACACUUUAAAUCCUUUAACGAGGAACAAUUGGAGGGCAAGUCUGGUGCCAGCAGCCGCGGUAAUUCCAGCUCUAAUAGCGUAUAUUAAAAUUGUUGCAGUUAAAACGCUCGUAGUUGAAUAUCUGUCUCCUGAUUGUUUGGUCCGCUUUGCGUGCACCAAACGUCAGAGGCAUCCGUUUGUAAUUUUCUAAAUUGCAAACCGUUCACUUUGAGGAAAUUAGAGUGUUUAAAGCAAGCUUUGCCUUGAAUACUUCAGCAUG